RNAcentral lists this ribosomal RNA (986 nucleotides) under uncultured marine bacterium. RNAcentral describes it as "bacterial SSU rRNA". It matches the Rfam family "Bacterial small subunit ribosomal RNA", at positions 61 to 1026 of the family's 1533-position model. The record is from RNAcentral.
GUCGAGCGGAACGAGUUAUCUGAACCUUCGGGGAACGAUAACGGCGUCGAGCUGCGGACGGGUGAGUAAUGCCUAGGAAAUUGCCCUGAUGUGGGGGAUAACCAUUGGAAACGAUGGCUAAUACCGCAUAAUGCCUACGGGCCAAAGAGGGGGACCUUCGGGCCUCUCGCGUCAGGAUAUGCCUAGGUGGGAUUAGCUAGUUGGUGGGGUAAGGGCUCACCAAGGCGACGAUCCCUAGCUGGUCUGAGAGGAUGAUCAGCCACACUGGAACUGAGACACGGUCCAGACUCCUACGGGAGGCAGCAGUGGGGAAUAUUGCACAAUGGGCGCAAGCCUGAUGCAGCCAUGCCGCGUGUGUGAAGAAGGCCUUCGGGUUGUAAAGCACUUUCAGUCGUGAGGAAGGUAGUGUAGUUAAUAGCUGCAUUAUUUGACGUUAGCGACAGAAGAAGCACCGGCUAACUCCGUGCCAGCAGCCGCGGUAAUACGGAGGGUGCGAGCGUUAAUCGGAAUUACUGGGCGUAAAGCGCAUGCAGGUGGUUUGUUAAGUCAGAUGUGAAAGCCCGGGGCUCAACCUCGGAAUUGCAUUUGAAACGGGCAGACUAGAGUACUGUAGAGGGGGGUAGAAUUUCAGGUGUAGCGGUGAAAUGCGUAGAGAUCUGAAGGAAUACCGGUGGCGAAGGCGGCCCCCUGGACAGAUACUGACACUCAGAUGCGAAAGCGUGGGGAGCAAACAGGAUUAGAUACCCUGGUAGUCCACGCCGUAAACGAUGUCUACUUGGAGGUUGUGGCCUUGAGCCGUGGCUUUCGGAGCUAACGCGUUAAGUAGACCGCCUGGGGAGUACGGUCACAAGAUUAAAACUCAAAUGAAUUGACGGGGGCCCGCACAAGCGGUGGAGCAUGUGGUUUAAUUCGAUGCAACGCGAAGAACCUUACCUACUCUUGACAUCCAGAGAACUUUCCAGAGAAUGGAUUGGUGCCUUCGGGAA